Long non-coding RNA from Homo sapiens (human), 384 nucleotides. Ensembl annotates it as long intergenic non-protein coding RNA 595. The record is from Ensembl. Lineage: Eukaryota; Metazoa; Chordata; Mammalia; Primates; Hominidae.
CAACUGCUUGAGCUAAGAGCAAGCUCAGUGUUUCCUUCAAGCAGCAUCGUGGACAGAUUCCUGCCAGACCCUUCAGAGCAAGCACCCCACACCCCUAGCCCAGGGUCUCUUCAUCGAUAGGGGGUGAUCUGUCUGCCCCUCACUGUUUUCUCCAAAUAGCAUCUCCAAAUGGACUAGACUCGACAAGCAAACAGUCUGCAGUGGACCCCUUGGGUCAUCCAUUCUGAUGGAAACAGAAAUAGAAUUCCAGCCCGGUGGAGUGGAGAAGGCUCCAGGAGGGCGUCGGGCCCAACCACCUUGCGUUAUGGAGCACAGAGAGGGAUUCUGCUGUGGUCACAUAGCACCUAAGUGGUUGCAGCAGCCUCAGAACAGGCUGUCCUGCCU